GCCGGGUGCGGUGGCAUGUGCCUGUAAUCCAAGUCACUGGGAGGCUGAGGUUGGUGGAUCAAGUGAGCUGAGGAGCUCUGGCUGCAGCACUCUAUGUCGAACGGUGUCCAACGCUAAGGUCGGUAUCGAUAUGGUGUUCCUUGGGGGAGCCCGGGACCACCAGGUUGUCUAAGGAGGGGUGAACCGGCCCAGGUCGGAAAACGAAGCAGGUCAAAUCCCCCGUGCUGUCCAGUAGUGGGAUACUACCUGUGAGUAGAUGCUGCAGUGCAGCCUUGGCAUAACAUCGAUACCCAGUCUUUC
This 300-nucleotide signal recognition particle RNA is filed under the name Oncorhynchus mykiss (rainbow trout). Its description in RNAcentral is "Metazoan signal recognition particle RNA (ENSOMYG00000071395.1)". It matches the Rfam family "Metazoan signal recognition particle RNA". Rfam says of the family: The signal recognition particle (SRP) is a universally conserved ribonucleoprotein. It is involved in the co-translational targeting of proteins to membranes. Lineage: Eukaryota; Metazoa; Chordata; Actinopteri; Salmoniformes; Salmonidae. The record is from RNAcentral.